This 484-nucleotide ribosomal RNA is filed under the name uncultured bacterium. Its description in RNAcentral is "partial 16S ribosomal RNA". It matches the Rfam family "Bacterial small subunit ribosomal RNA", at positions 30 to 507 of the family's 1533-position model. The record is from RNAcentral.
AUUGAACGCUGGCGGCAGGCCUAACACAUGCAAGUCGAGCGGAUGAAGGGAGCUUGCUCCUGGUUCCAGCGGCGGACGGGUGGGUAAUGCCUAGGAAUCUGCCGGGUAGUGGGGGAUAACGUCGGGAAAGGGGCGCUAAUACCGCAUACGUCCUGAGGGGGAAAGUGGGGGAUCUUCGGACCUCCCGCUAUCAGAUGAGCCUAGGUCGGAUUAGCUAGUUGGGGGGGUAAAGGCCUACCAAGGCGACGAUCCGUAACUGGUCUGAGAGGAUGAUCAGUCACACUGGAACUGAGACACGGUCCAGACUCCUACGGGAGGCAGCAGUGGGGAAUAUUGGACAAUGGGCGAAAGCCUGAUCCAGCCAUGCCGCGUGUGUGAAGAAGGUCUUCGGAUUGUAAAGCACUUUAAGUUGGGAGGAAGGGCAGUAAGUUAAUACCUUGCUGUUUUGACGUUACCAACAGAAUAAGCACCGGCUAACUUCGUG